This 421-nucleotide long non-coding RNA is filed under the name Helianthus annuus (common sunflower). Its description in RNAcentral is "sRNA HanXRQr2_Chr08g0356861". The record is from RNAcentral. Lineage: Eukaryota; Viridiplantae; Streptophyta; Magnoliopsida; Asterales; Asteraceae.
AAAUAAAUCCCAUCACCUCAAAUAGACCCUCAAGCAUGAAACCAACACAUGUAUUUACCACCUUCACUGCCUUCAUUAUGUAAUGACCUCCUCACCACCUUUAAACCACCUAUAUCGACGUUCGUAGCACACCCGACAUAUUCCGGCGACUUCAUUUUUCUGAUCUACUGCUUAUCUCCAAUCUAAGUCGGAGUUUCGUAUAGAUGAACAAGGCAUCAUAUAGACGAAAUCCUUUAUCUCAGCACUUCAUUUCUGAUCAUCACUUUGGAACCACUAAGGUUAGCAGGGAUGGCGGGAAAGUGUGAAGAGAGCUAAAAUAAAUAAGUUGGAAACUUAGUGUAUAGUUUUAAUAAUGUAUGAAAUAAAUUACCAGGAAUAAAUCUUUUGUAAACUCGUUUGGAUAUUAAUAAAAUAAGCCUUU